Molecule: long non-coding RNA, 412 nt
Organism: Hypanus sabinus (Atlantic stingray)
Lineage: Eukaryota; Metazoa; Chordata; Chondrichthyes; Myliobatiformes; Dasyatidae
Exons: 2
Source: RefSeq, a predicted model, not a curated record
UGGUCCAAUCACUUAGUUGUUUUGUAGUGAAAUAGUAAAACAUGUAUUUUUUGCCCAAAAAUAAGACAACGGGGAAAAUUACCUUUGUCAAUUAUCUGAUGUCGGAUUGUUUGAUGUGUUUGUGAUAUGUGAAGAUCUGCUGAUUGACUACAACUGGUGCAGUAGGAUGAUCGGCAGCUGUACAUGGCUUUUGAAUACAUUUGUCCAUUCAACUAAAUUGAUCAUAAAUGACUAUUAAAUGUAAAAUGUACUACUUUUGCAAGCGGUAUCCCACUGUGGUCAAUUCCUUCGCUCAGCUGGUGGCGUGUUCCAAGCACCGAGUGCCCGAUCCGACUGAGACGUCACAGCCCUGAUAACCGCUCCGGCCGACUGUCAGGGCAAAAUGUUUGAUAAAGCAAAGGGCAGAGAGUUA